UAACACGUGAGUAACCUGCCCCCGACUUCGGGAUAAGCCCGGGAAACUGGGUCUAAUACCGGAUAUGACGACCGAAGGCAUCUUUGGUUGUGGAAAGUUUUUUCGGUUGGGGAUGGGCUCGCGGCCUAUCAGUUUGUUGGUGAGGUAAUGGCUCACCAAGACGACGACGGGUAGCCGGCCUGAGAGGGCGACCGGCCACACUGGGACUGAGACACGGCCCAGACUCCUACGGGAGGCAGCAGUGGGGAAUAUUGCACAAUGGGGGAAACCCUGAUGCAGCGACGCAGCGUGCGGGAUGACGGCCUUCGGGUUGUAAACCGCUUUCAGCAGGGAAGAAGCCUUUCGGGGUGACGGUACCUGCAGAAGAAGUACCGGCUAACUACGUGCCAGCAGCCGCGGUAAUACGUAGGGUACAAGCGUUGUCCGGAAUUAUUGGGCGUAAAGAGCUCGUAGGUGGUUGGUCACGUCUGCUGUGGAAACGCAACGCUUAACGUUGCGCGUGCAGUGGGUACGGGCUGACUAGAGUGCAGUAGGGGAGUCUGGAAUUCCUGGUGUAGCGGUGAAAUGCGCAGAUAUCAGGAGGAACACCGGUGGCGAAGGCGGGACUCUGGGCUGUAACUGACACUGAGGAGCGAAAGCAUGGGGAGCGAACAGGAUUAGAUACCCUGGUAGUCCAUGCCGUAAACGUUGGGCACUAGGUGUGGGGGACAUUCCACGUUCUCCGCGCCGUAGCUAACGCAUUAAGUGCCCCGC
RNAcentral lists this ribosomal RNA (753 nucleotides) under Brevibacterium sp. Its description in RNAcentral is "bacterial SSU rRNA". It matches the Rfam family "Bacterial small subunit ribosomal RNA", at positions 111 to 872 of the family's 1533-position model. The record is from RNAcentral. Lineage: Bacteria; Bacillati; Actinomycetota; Actinomycetes; Micrococcales; Brevibacteriaceae.